Molecule: long non-coding RNA, 1407 nt
Organism: Strigops habroptila (Kakapo)
Lineage: Eukaryota; Metazoa; Chordata; Aves; Psittaciformes; Psittacidae
Source: Ensembl
GGGCAGCCAGAGCAGCCUGCACCCGCCGGCACAGACCAUCUCCAACGCGCCCGUCUCCGAGUACAUUACUCCCCGAGCAUGCGAGCCACCUACCUGUCGGUCACCGAUGAGCACGUCCGGCCCCACAGCACCGAGGUCCCGGCCUAAGGCUCGGCCCACACGGCUCCCGGCAGGAGGAGACGGCGCCACCGGCGUUCCGGUGGUGGGAAACCAAAGAGACCUGGGACAGACGUGGUGGGAAAGCCGGCAAUGGCUGGAGGAUGAGCCCCGGCAGUGGGGAGGCCCCCGGGCUCCCUGCACCCUCCUCUCCCCCUUGGCAGCUCCUUCUCCAUCUCAAGUCUUCCUUCCUUAUGGCUGACAGUGGCUCCAGGGCCAAACACCGGGAAGGUUGGGGAUGCUUCACACCCUCAUGUCGGCUCCCUCCCCGCUCGGGGAUGUUUUAUGCCGUGGAAUGGAGCCUUCUCCAGCUCCCUGGAGCACCCAGCCUGGGACCAUGGGUGGCUCCUUCGCUCCCGUAGCAAUGCAGCACCAACCACUAGUGAUCCCAGCUCCUGCUCCUCAUGGAUGGAGCCGGCUCCCCUUGUCCCCCUCGCUGCUGCCCUGGGUUUGGGGGCUAUAGAAUUAAGGAUGCUUUGUCCUUGCCGGUUUUCCUUUGCUUUGCUCCUGGGUUUUAUGAGUUCUCUGCAGGGCAGAGGUGCAGUUUGACUCGCUGCCUCUGUUCCAAUGGGGUUUUACUGCGGUGCAUGUUGGUAACAGAUUUUGGGCUGGUUUGAAGGUUCUUUUUGGCUGUUCAGCUCGCCAGCACUGGUGGGCUGGGGUAGGCUCCCCUCCUUCUGCAGGACAGCCACAAACUCCCUGGGAGAGGGAUAGGAACAUCCCUGGGACAGGAUGUGGUCCUGGGGAGGGCAUGGUCCUGCCAGGGCUUCAAGGAGCCAGGAGGAACCAGCAUGAGCUGAAAUGGAUCUUUUCUGGCUGCCUAUUUCGGUACGGUCUGCUCUGGAGAGCAAAGACUUAUCCCUUAACCCUUAUCUCCCUGCAGUUAGCAGCCUCCUGUGCUGCUGGUUGUGGUUAUCCAUCCCCUCAUCCCUGCUUUGCCUAACAGCCGGGGUAGCCAGGCUGUCCCUUGGGCGAGCCCCAGGGUCUUGGUAGCAGCAACUCACUGUGUCUUUUAAAGAUAACCUGUAUAUUCCCUCCAGUGCCCUAACCCGUGUUCCGUGUGACUGCAUUACUCCCUGUUGGAAACUUCCUUCCAGGGAAUAUUGGGGGGGGGGAGGGUGCUUUUAAUGUUUGGCUGUAACGGUACUGGUAGAAGAGCUGGUGUUCAACGCAUGUGAACUAACCUCAUUAGGGGCUGGAGCCUGGUUUGGAUGUGCCCUUGGGGAAAGGACAAUAAACACUUGUACUAAA